UGAACGCUGGCGGAAUGCUUAACACAUGCAAGUCGUGCGGUAACACUUCGGGUGACGAGCGGCGGACGGGUGCGUAACGCGUGAGAAUCUACCUUUUAGUGGGGGACAACUCGGGGAAACUCGGGCUAAUACCGCAUGUGUCCUACGGGAUAAAGCAGGGGAUCUUCGGACCUUGCGCUAAAAGAUGAGCUCGCGUUAGAUUAGCUUGUUGGUGGGGUAAAAGCCUACCAAGGCAACGAUCUAUAGCUGGUCUGAGAGGAUGAUCAGCCACACUGGGACUGAGACACGGCCCAGACUCCUACGGGAGGCAGCAGUGGGGAAUAUUGGACAAUGGGGGCAACCCUGAUCCAGCAAUUCCGCGUGUGUGAAGAAGGCCCGAGGGUUGUAAAGCACUUUCAGUAGCCAAGAUGGGGUCUUACACUAAUAUUGUAAGAUCUUGACAUUAACUACAGAAGAAGCACCGG
Molecule: ribosomal RNA, 464 nt
Filed under: uncultured bacterium
Lineage: Bacteria
Description: bacterial SSU rRNA
Rfam family: Bacterial small subunit ribosomal RNA
Source: RNAcentral